RNAcentral lists this ribosomal RNA (730 nucleotides) under uncultured marine microorganism. Its description in RNAcentral is "bacterial SSU rRNA". It matches the Rfam family "Bacterial small subunit ribosomal RNA", at positions 776 to 1503 of the family's 1533-position model. The record is from RNAcentral.
GAUUAGAUACCCCUGUAGUCCUAGCUGUAAACGAUGGAAACUAGGUGUGGCUUGUAUCGACCCGAGCCGUGCCGUAGCUAACGCGUUAAGUUUCCCGCCUGGGGAGUACGCACGCAAGUGUGAAACUCAAAGGAAUUGACGGGGGCCCGCACAAGCGGUGGAGUAUGUGGUUUAAUUCGAUGCAACGCGAAGAACCUUACCAGGGCUUGACAUGUCGCGUAUCUCGGUGAAAGCUGAGAGUGCCUUCGGGAGCGCGAACACAGGUGGUGCAUGGCUGUCGUCCGCUCGUGUCGUGAGAUGUUGGGUUAAGUCCCGCAACGAGCGCAACCCUUAUUUUUAGUUGCCAGCAUUAAGAUGGGCACUCUAGAAAGACUGCCGGUGACAAACCGGAGGAAGGUGAGGACGACGUCAAGUCAGCAUGCCCCUUACGCCCUGGGCUACACACGUACUACAAUGGUUGGGACAAAGGGCAGCGACUCCGCAAGGAAUAGCGAAUCUCAUCAAACCCAGCCUCAGUUCAGAUUGCAGGCUGCAACUCGCCUGCAUGAAGGAGGAAUCGCUAGUAAUCGCAGGUCAGCAUACUGCGGUGAAUUCGUUCCCGGGCCUUGUACACACCGCCCGUCACACCAUGGAAGCUGGUCACGCCCGAAGUAGUUACCCUAACCUUUCGAGGAGGGGGAUUCCUAAGGCAGGGCUAGUGACUGGGGUGAAGUCGUAACAAGGUAGCCGU